AUCAAAAUGGCAGAGUGGCUAUGCCUCCGGCUGCAACCCGGAGCUACGUGAGUUCGAUUCUCACUUCUGACUUGAAA
RNAcentral lists this transfer RNA (77 nucleotides) under Methanosarcina lacustris Z-7289. Its description in RNAcentral is "tRNA-Cys (GCA) (tRNA-Cys-GCA-3-1)". It matches the Rfam family "tRNA". From Rfam's summary of the family: Transfer RNA (tRNA) molecules are approximately 80 nucleotides in length. The record is from RNAcentral. Lineage: Archaea; Methanobacteriati; Methanobacteriota; Methanomicrobia; Methanosarcinales; Methanosarcinaceae.